CUCGUAGGCGGCCAACUAAGUCAUACGUGAAAUCCCUCAGCUUAACUGGGGAACUGCGUGUGAUACUGGAUGGCUUGGAUUUGGGAGAGGGAUGCGGAAUUCCAGGUGUAGCGGUGAAAUGCGUAGAUACCUGGAGGAACACCGGUGGCGAAGGCGGCAUCCUGGACCAAUAUUGACGCUGAGGAGCGAAAGCCAGGGGAGCAAACG
Molecule: ribosomal RNA, 207 nt
Filed under: uncultured bacterium
Lineage: Bacteria
Description: partial 16S ribosomal RNA
Rfam family: Bacterial small subunit ribosomal RNA
Source: RNAcentral